UACGAAGGGGGCUAGCGUUGCUCGGAAUCACUGGGCGUAAAGGGCGCGUAGGCGGCCUUCUAAGUCGAACGUGAAAUCCCUGGGCUCAACCCAGGAACUGCGUCCGAUACUGGGAGGCUUGAAUCCGGGAGAGGGAUGCGGAAUUCCAGGUGUAGCGGUGAAAUGCGUAGAUAUCUGGAGGAACACCGGUGGCGAAGGCGGCAUCCUGGACCGGUAUUGACGCUGAGGCGCGAAAGCCAGGGGAGCAAACGGG
RNAcentral lists this ribosomal RNA (253 nucleotides) under uncultured bacterium. RNAcentral's name for it is "partial 16S ribosomal RNA". It matches the Rfam family "Bacterial small subunit ribosomal RNA", at positions 524 to 776 of the family's 1533-position model. The record is from RNAcentral.